AGUGAACGCUGGCGGCAGGCCUAACACAUGCAAGUCGAGCGGCAGCGCGGGGGCAACCCUGGCGGCGAGCGGCGGACGGGUGAGGAAUUCGUCGGAAUCUGCCUUUUUGUGGGGGAUAACGUAGGGAAACUUACGCUAAUACCGCAUACGUCCUACGGGCGAAAGUGGGGGACCGCAAGGCCUCACGCAGAAAGAUGAGCCGACGACCGAUUAGCUAGUUGGUGGGGUAAAGGCCCACCAAGGCGACGAUCGGUAGCUGGUCUGAGAGGAUGAUCAGCCACACGGGGACUGAGAAACGGCCCAGACUCCUACGGGAGGAAGCAGUGGGGAAUAUUGGACAAUGGGCGCAAGCCUGAUCCAGCCAUGCCGCGUGUGUGAAGAAGGCCUUCGGGUUGUAAAGCACUUUUGUCCGGAAAGAAAUCCCUGGAGCUAAUACCUUCGGGGGAUGACGGUACCGGAAGAAUAAGCACCGGCUAACUUCGUG
This 484-nucleotide ribosomal RNA is filed under the name uncultured bacterium. RNAcentral's name for it is "partial 16S ribosomal RNA". It matches the Rfam family "Bacterial small subunit ribosomal RNA", at positions 29 to 507 of the family's 1533-position model. The record is from RNAcentral.